Glycine soja is the source of this 200-nucleotide long non-coding RNA. RefSeq lists it as uncharacterized. The transcript is spliced from 3 exons. The record is from RefSeq and is a predicted model, not a curated record. NCBI's taxonomy places the organism in Eukaryota, Viridiplantae, Streptophyta, Magnoliopsida, Fabales, Fabaceae.
UUAAUUUAGAAUUCAUUGAUGAGUUACUGAAAUUUACUCCUGCACCAUGCAAUGAACCUCUUUAUCAUAAAUUGAAGGACUAUGCAGAGGAAGCUAGGUUGUUAAUUCAGGAUAUUGAUACUGCUUUGUCAAUGAGUUCAAAUAUGUCUGAGUUGGAACUUUUAUACUCCAAAGCUUGUGGCCUACCCAUCUACAUGAAA